AACGUAGGAGGCGAGCGUUAUCCGGAUUUACUGGGUGUAAAGCGUGUGCAGGCGGUUUGAUAAGUUGGGUGUGAAAGCUCCUGGCUCAACUGGGAGAGGUCGCUCAAGACUGUCAGACUAGAGCGUGGUAGGGGAAGGCGGAAUUCCGGGUGUAGUGGUGAAAUGCGUAGAUAUCCGGAGGAACACCAGUGGCGAAAGCGGCCUUCUGGGCCACGACUGACGCUCAGACACGAAAGCUAGGGGAGCAAACGGG
RNAcentral lists this ribosomal RNA (253 nucleotides) under uncultured bacterium. RNAcentral's name for it is "partial 16S ribosomal RNA". It matches the Rfam family "Bacterial small subunit ribosomal RNA", at positions 524 to 776 of the family's 1533-position model. The record is from RNAcentral.